GCAUGUGAGGGCGAUCUGUCUGCGACAUCUGUCACCCCAUUGAGCGCCAGGGUUGAUUCGGCUGACCUGGCUGGCUAGGCGGGUGUCCCCUUCCUCCCUCACUGCUCCGUGUGCAUCCCUCCCAAAGCUUCGCACUCGGUCAAAGAGGACGGCCUUCCCCAAAUAGAGAUGGACCGGUCUUCGGUUUUCAGUGGAGAGUAUGCGAGUAGCUGCGCUCCCCUGCUAGAACCUCCAAACAAGCUCUCAACGUUGUCGUAAAAUAAAUUAUUUGAAAGGUGAGCAUUGGGACCACACACCCUGGCUCUGUGCUCAGG
This 314-nucleotide small nuclear RNA is filed under the name Sorex araneus (European shrew). Its description in RNAcentral is "7SK RNA (ENSSARG00000017875.1)". It matches the Rfam family "7SK RNA". From Rfam's summary of the family: 7SK was discovered as an abundant small nuclear RNA in the mid-70s but a possible function has only recently been suggested. Two independent studies have found that 7SK RNA binds the CDK9/cyclin T complex (known as elongation factor P-TEFb). The record is from RNAcentral. Lineage: Eukaryota; Metazoa; Chordata; Mammalia; Eulipotyphla; Soricidae.